RNAcentral lists this ribosomal RNA (449 nucleotides) under uncultured bacterium. RNAcentral's name for it is "partial 16S ribosomal RNA". It matches the Rfam family "Bacterial small subunit ribosomal RNA", at positions 29 to 523 of the family's 1533-position model. The record is from RNAcentral.
AACGAACGCUGGCGGCAGGCUUAACACAUGCAAGUCGAGCGCCUUGGCAACAAGGAGCGGCAGACGGGUGAGUAACGCGUGGGAAUCUACCCAUCUCUACGGAAUAACUCAGGGAAACUUGUGCUAAUACCGUAUACGCCCUUUGGGGGAAAGAUUUAUCGGAGAUGGAUGAGCCCGCGUUGGAUUAGCUAGUUGGUGGGGUAAAGGCCUACCAAGGCGACGAUCCAUAGCUGGUCUGAGAGGAUGAUCAGCCACAUUGGGACUGAGAUACGGCCCAGACUCCUACGGGAGGCAGCAGUGGGGAAUAUUGGACAAUGGGGGCAACCCUGAUCCAGCCAUGCCGCGUGAGUUAGGAAGGCCUUAGGGUUGUAAAGCUCUUUUGUCCGGGAAGAUAAUGACGGUACCGGAAGAAUAAGCCCCGGCUAACUUCGUGCCAGCAGCCGCCGUAA